This 460-nucleotide ribosomal RNA is filed under the name uncultured bacterium. Its description in RNAcentral is "partial 16S ribosomal RNA". It matches the Rfam family "Bacterial small subunit ribosomal RNA", at positions 338 to 795 of the family's 1533-position model. The record is from RNAcentral.
CCUACGGGUGGCAGCAGUGAGGAAUAUUGCUCAAUGGGCGUAAGCCUGACCCAGCCAAGUCGCGUGAGGGAUGAAGGUUCUAUGGAUCGUAAACCUCUUUUAUAAGGGAAUAAAGUGCGGGACGUGUCCCGUUUUGUAUGUACCUUAUGAAUAAGGAUCGGCUAACUCCGUGCCAGCAGCCGCGGUAAUACGGAGGAUCCGAGCGUUAUCCGGAUUUGUUGGGUUUAAAGGGUGCGUAGGCGGCCUUUUAAGUCAGCGGUGAAAGUCCGUGGCUCAACCAUAGAAUUGCCGUUGAAACUGGGAGGCUUGAGUAUGUUUGAGGAAGGCGGAAUGCGGGGUGUAGAGGUGAAAUGCUUAGAUAUCACGCAGAACCCCGAUUGCGAAGGCAGCCUGCUAAGCCAUGACUGACGCUGAUGCACGAAAGCGUGGGGAGCAAACAGGAUUAGAUACCCCAGUAGUC